UAUAUUUCGAAAAAUAAUGUCAUCCAAAAACAACCAGUUCAGCUUCAGACGCGGACAUUCAACCAAAGAAUCUCUAGCUUCUUUCUCACUAUAGCUUCUUUGAUUCAACUACUACGCAACUAGAGGUCAAAACUUCUCGGUUGAUGCUUCAAGAACUACUAACGAUAUCUCGUGCGCAGUUGCGUCUAGUUCAUGGUCGUGGCCUCCGCGGUUUAAACGAAGCAAAGGAGGGGUCCGCAAGAACAGCACGAGGAAAAAGCAACAACUUCAUAUAAUAGUAUAUAUAUCGUUGGGGGAAAAAAGUUUCUUAUCUCACUUACUUUCCUACUUAAUAAUGUAAACAAGAAAGACACACAAGCGCCAAUACUGUUAUUUUAUUUCAACUACAAAACAUUAUGACAGCAUUAAUUAAGUGGUACUCCCGAAUUCUUUCAAUUCACCCAUGGAAAACCCAGCUCUGUACGACAGGAUUUUUAAUGGGAUCUAGUGACUUAAUUGCACAAACAGCAAUUGAAAAAUGUGAACUGAAAGGAAUAGAAAUCUCCAGAGUUGCAAGAUUUGCAUUUCUUGGUGCUUGUUUUGUGGGUCCUGUUUUGCGUGUCUGGUACAAUGUUUUGGAGAAAGGCAUAGGUACGAUUGGCCGAACAGCUGGUUUAAAAAAGAUGUUAAUUGAUCAAUCCAUAUUUUCACCUUGUUUUAUUGGAUGCUUUCUGACUGUGUCUGGUUUACUCCAGUUACAACCAUGGCAUAAAAUAGGAGAAAAAAUUAAAAAGGAUUAUUUUGUUAUCUUGAAGACGAAUUACUUGAUAUUUCAGGAAUAAUUUCUGAAAAGUUUCCAUUUUGAUGACCUGGCUCUAAACUCCACAUCUUACUGUAGUUCUGCACAACUAUGAAAGGGCAGCUACUGUUAUAAGCUGUGGCCUGCUGCCCAACUUAUCACAUUCUAUGUUAUUCCUCUUGAACUGAGAAUUGUCUUUGUCAGCUGUGUUGCAUUGGUCUGGAAUACAUUCCUUGCAUGUCAAGCUAAUAAGAAUAUGUCUACAAAUU
This 1047-nucleotide unclassified non-coding RNA is filed under the name Stegodyphus dumicola. RNAcentral's name for it is "protein Mpv17-like, transcript variant X4". The record is from RNAcentral. Lineage: Eukaryota; Metazoa; Arthropoda; Arachnida; Araneae; Eresidae.